This 500-nucleotide ribosomal RNA is filed under the name uncultured Gemella sp. Its description in RNAcentral is "bacterial SSU rRNA". It matches the Rfam family "Bacterial small subunit ribosomal RNA", at positions 28 to 508 of the family's 1533-position model. The record is from RNAcentral. Lineage: Bacteria; Bacillati; Bacillota; Bacilli; Caryophanales; Gemellaceae.
GACGAACGCUGGCGGCGUGCCUAGUACAUGCAAGUCGAGCGAAGUUUUUCUGGUGCUUGCACUAGAAAAACUUAGCGGCGAACGGGUGAGUAACACGUAAAGAACCUGCCUCAUAGACUGGGACAACUAUUGGAAACGAUAGCUAAUACCGGAUAACAGCAUUAACUGCAUGGUUGAUGUUUAAAAGUUGGUUUUGCUAACACUAUGAGAUGGCUUUGCGGUGCAUUAGCUAGUUGGUGGGGUAAAGGCCUACCAGGGCGACGAUGCAUAGCCGACCUGAGAGGGUGAUCGGCCACACUGGGACUGAGACACGGCCCAGACUCCUACAGGAGGCAGCAGUAGGGAAUCUUCCGCAAUGGGCGAAAGCCUGACGGAGCAACGCCGCGUGAGUGAAGAAGGAUUUCGGUUCGUAAAGCUCUGUUAUUAGGGAAGAAUGAUUGUGUAGUAACUAUACACAGUAGAGAMGGUACCUAACCAGAAAGCCACGGCUAACUACGUGC